Molecule: non-coding RNA, 1551 nt
Organism: Nothobranchius furzeri (turquoise killifish)
Lineage: Eukaryota; Metazoa; Chordata; Actinopteri; Cyprinodontiformes; Nothobranchiidae
Source: RefSeq, a predicted model, not a curated record
UCAGGCUCUCCACAUCAUAUGUGACUGACUUUUACGUUAUAACAACGAUCACACACUAGGAAUGUUAUAAAGCGCCUAUAUAGGAGAUUCUUUUGUAUAUUAUCUGACUUUAUAAACUCCCAACAACAAUGUGCUUCUAUUUUUUUUUCAGGCUAAAUCUACCCAAGACACUGGCUGUCAGACUGAUUUAGCUGCAAGAAUGCACUUGUCCAGGCUGACAUGAAGCCUUACCGGCGUAGCAAAGGUGAAUUAUUUUUAAUAAUCUUCUAUGUAAACAUUUUAUUAUUACCUUCUAGUUCUAAUUUGUUUUACAGAUUAUUGUUACACGUGAUUUUAUGCUCUUUUAAACAUUUAUAAAUGUGCUGCUUCUUUGUUUUUGUACAUAGCCAGCCAGAAGAGCUCACAGCUGCUGUGUGUCUUGUGACACAAGGAUCAUGACGGAAAUUCAUCUUCCAGAAAGUCCCAGAGCGUCCACACCCCCUGAAAAGACCAAGAUGCGAGGUGUCUGCUAUUGAUUCCAGCUUCCACCUCAGUGACAGUGCAAGCUCAGUGAACUGUUCAAGGAGGCUACCGAUUCUGGCCCUGUGACACUUGGUGGUGACGUGUGAGCUGAUUCACCUGGACACUCAGCAAAAUAUGGACUCUACACCAUGAGGCAGGCACACGUUAAUAACUGUAUAAGAGCACAUAAGCCUGGCUGAUCACCUGAUAACUCCUGUCAUCUGGUUAUGACAGCAUGAGGAUGUCCUCACACACCUGUAACCUAUCAGCUCAUCUGGCAGAAUAGAGAGAGAAGAGACAACACCACAUCUCCUGUUCCUGGAAAGCCUUCAGCCAUCCUUUGAUGACUAAGAACCUCCAUCAGCUCUGUCUCCUGUCUGCCUACAAUUAUUAUAAUAAAUAUUGUGUUUGAAAAGUUUUUUGUGCUGCCAAAUAUCUCAUUUUGAUAUUUUAAUGGAUAUUUAUAAAUUACAUUAAUUGAAUUAUCACAUUGCAUGUUUAACUAGCUCUAUUGUGAUGAAUUAAACUAGCACCUCACUGUUAAAAGCUCGUUUUAAUUUCAAGCAUGUUUAAGUAUUUAUGGACAUAAACAAAAACAGGAAAUAUAUAAAUUGAGAUUUAUUUAAUUAAUAUAACAAAUAAGGGGGAAAGAGUCAUUGAAAGGCACAUUCUUCUGGAAGCUCCUGAUCCUGACGACACCAGCAGGAGACCAGCUGCAGACACCAGAGGAUCACCUGCAACCAAGAGCAGCUAGUAUCAGUAAAUAAAUAAUGAAAUCAGGGCAGUUUUAGUGGGCUGAACACAUUACAAAAUAAUUUUCUCAUGGGAUAUUUUCAUAACUUUAUGCAGAGCUGCUAUCCAGCACGUUUCAGUGGAUUUUCCUGCUUUAACAGGUUAGAUAAGCUGUUAAACAGCUCAGCUAUUUGUUGCUGAUUAAAACCAGGUGUGUUGAAGCAGAUAAAUCUCUAAAGUAUGCUGAAUACUAGCUCUCGGGCCAUGGAGCAAAACCCUGCAGCUAAUCUGAUGCUAUGGCUAACGGCUACUUACCAU